This 332-nucleotide transfer-messenger RNA is filed under the name bacterium. It matches the Rfam family "transfer-messenger RNA". From Rfam's summary of the family: Bacterial tmRNA, also known as 10Sa RNA or SsrA, is named for its dual tRNA and mRNA-like properties. The record is from RNAcentral.
GGGGGUGAAAAGCUUCGACAGCAAUUACUCCCAAGAAAAGCAAGUCGAGUAUUCUGAAACCUCGCUAAACUUUCAGAAAAAAUAAGUGCCAACUUAUCUUUUCAACCUGCUUUAGCUUACGUUUAAAGCAGCGCCGACCUUAAGGAUUCUCGAUAAUUGAGGUUGGUGUCAUCAAUCGAGAAAAGUGUUCUUUAUUUUGGCGAAAGCCAAGGAUGGCAGACAACGUUUUUCGCCUGAUUCAACUUUCUGCCUUCAGUUAAAAUCGGGAUAAGCUUGUAGAUUUUCUUUGGGAAAAAUUUCUGGAUCCGGGUGCAAUCUCGGCACCUCCACCA